GGGUUGUGAGGUUAAGCGACUAAGCGUACACGGUGGAUGCCCUGGCAGUCAGAGGCGAUGAAGGACGUGCUAAUCUGCGAUAAGCGUCGGUAAGGUGAUAUGAACCGUUAUAACCGGCGAUUUCCGAAUGGGGAAACCCAGUGUGUUUCGACACACUAUCAUUAACUGAAUCCAUAGGUUAAUGAGGCGAACCGGGGGAACUGAAACAUCUAAGUACCCCGAGGAAAAGAAAUCAACCGAGAUUCCCCCAGUAGCGGCGAGCGAACGGGGAGCAGCCCAGAGCCUGAAUCAGUGUGUGUGUUAGUGGAAGCGUCUGGAAAGGCGCGCGAUACAGGGUGACAGCCCCGUACACAAAAAUACACAUACUGUGAGCUCGAUGAGUAGGGCGGGACACGUGGUAUCCUGUCUGAAUAUGGGGGGACCAUCCUCCAAGGCUAAAUACUCCUGACUGACCGAUAGUGAACCAGUACCGUGAGGGAAAGGCGAAAAGAACCCCGGCGAGGGGAGUGAAAAAGAACCUGAAACCGUGUACGUACAAGCAGUGGGAGCACGCUUAGGCGUGUGACUGCGUACCUUUUGUAUAAUGGGUCAGCGACUUAUAUUCUGUAGCAAGGUUAACCGAAUAGGGGAGCCGAAGGGAA
Molecule: ribosomal RNA, 641 nt
Filed under: Escherichia coli
Lineage: Bacteria; Pseudomonadati; Pseudomonadota; Gammaproteobacteria; Enterobacterales; Enterobacteriaceae
Description: partial 23S ribosomal RNA
Rfam family: Bacterial large subunit ribosomal RNA
Source: RNAcentral